RNAcentral lists this ribosomal RNA (400 nucleotides) under uncultured bacterium. RNAcentral describes it as "bacterial SSU rRNA". It matches the Rfam family "Bacterial small subunit ribosomal RNA", at positions 355 to 772 of the family's 1533-position model. The record is from RNAcentral.
UGGGGAAUCUUGCACAAUGGGGGCAACCCUGAUGCAGCGACGCCGCGUGAGCGAUGAAGCCCUUCGGGGUGUAAAGCUCUUUCGGCCCGAACGAUAAUGACGGUACGGGAAGAAGAAGCUGCGGCUAACUACGUGCCAGCAGCCGCGGUAAUACGUAGGCAGCGAGCGUUGUUCGGAGUUACUGGGCGUAAAGCGUGCGUAGGCGGUGCCAUAAGUCUGUUGUGAAAUCUCCCGGCUUAACUGGGAGGGUGCGGUGGAAACUGUGGUGCUGGAGUGUGGGAGAGGUAGGCGGAAUUCCUGGUGUAGCGGUGAAAUGCGUAGAUAUCAGGAGGAACACCUGUGGUGUAGACGGCUUACUGGACCAUGACUGACGCUGAAGCACGAAAGCGUGGGGAGCAAA